Molecule: ribosomal RNA, 492 nt
Filed under: uncultured bacterium
Lineage: Bacteria
Description: partial 16S ribosomal RNA
Rfam family: Bacterial small subunit ribosomal RNA
Source: RNAcentral
AGUGAACGCUGGCGGUAGGCCUAACACAUGCAAGUCGAACGGCAGCACAGUAAGAGCUUGCUCUUACGGGUGGCGAGUGGCGGACGGGUGAGGAAUACAUCGGAAUCUACUUUUUAGUGGGGGAUAACGUAGGGAAACUUACGCUAAUACCGCAUACGACCUACGGGUGAAAGCAGGGGAUCUUCGGACCUUGCGCGAGUGAAUGAGCCGAUGUCGGAUUAGCUAGUUGGCGGGGUAAAGGCCCACCAAGGCGACGAUCCGUAGCUGGUCUGAGAGGAUGAUCAGCCACACUGGAACUGAGACACGGUCCAGACUCCUACGGGAGGCAGCAGUGGGGAAUAUUGGACAAUGGGCGCAAGCCUGAUCCAGCCAUACCGCGUGGGUGAAGAAGGCCUUCGGGUUGUAAAGCCCUUUUGUUGGAAAAGAAAAGCAGCAGGUUAAUACCCCGCUGUUCUGACGGUACCCAAAGAAUAAGCACCGGCUAACUUCGUG